GUGAGGAAUAUUGGACAAUGGGUGAGAGCCUGAUCCAGCCAUCCCGCGUGAAGGAUGACGGCCCUAUGGGUUGUAAACUUCUUUUGUACAGGGAUAAACCUAUCUACGUGUAGAUAGCUGAAGGUACUGUACGAAUAAGCACCGGCUAACUCCGUGCCAGCAGCCGCGGUAAUACGGAGGGUGCAAGCGUUAUCCGGAUUUAUUGGGUUUAAAGGGUCCGUAGGCGGAUCUGUAAGUCAGUGGUGAAAUCUCGCAGCUUAACUGCGAAACUGCCAUUGAUACUGCAGAUCUUGAGUAAAUUUGAAGUGGCUGGAAUAAGUAGUGUAGCGGUGAAAUGCAUAGAUAUUACUUAGAACACCAAUUGCGAAGGCAGGUCACUAAGAUUUAACUGACGCUGAGGGACGAAAGCGUGGGGAGCGAACAGGAUUAGAAACCCUUGUAGUCC
Molecule: ribosomal RNA, 445 nt
Filed under: uncultured bacterium
Lineage: Bacteria
Description: bacterial SSU rRNA
Rfam family: Bacterial small subunit ribosomal RNA
Source: RNAcentral